UACGUAGGUGGCAAGCGUUGUCCGGAAUUAUUGGGCGUAAAGCGCGCGCAGGCGGUCCUUUAAGUCUGAUGUGAAAGCCCACGGCUCAACCGUGGAGGGUCAUUGGAAACUGGGGGACUUGAGUGCAGAAGAGGAGAGUGGAAUUCCACGUGUAGCGGUGAAAUUCGUAGAUAUCGGGAGGAACACCAGAGGCGAAGGCGGCCACCUGGACAGACACUGACGCUGAGAAGCGAAAGCGUGGGGAGCAAACAGG
RNAcentral lists this ribosomal RNA (253 nucleotides) under uncultured bacterium. RNAcentral describes it as "partial 16S ribosomal RNA". It matches the Rfam family "Bacterial small subunit ribosomal RNA", at positions 524 to 776 of the family's 1533-position model. The record is from RNAcentral.